This 2027-nucleotide small RNA is filed under the name Oryza sativa Japonica Group (Japanese rice). Its description in RNAcentral is "sRNA Os05g0239900". The record is from RNAcentral. Lineage: Eukaryota; Viridiplantae; Streptophyta; Magnoliopsida; Poales; Poaceae.
CCCCCCCCCCCCCCCCCCCGCCUUCACCACUCUCCUCGCCUUCCCCAUCCGCUGUGCUGCCCCGCUGCACGCCGAUUCCCCAUCCACCGUUGCUCGAUUUCUCUCCUCUCCCGCGCCGCCCCUCUGCCUUCGUUGCAUCCCUCAUGUGUCGCCCCUCCGUCGUCGUCGGAUUGUCAUGCCACCCGCCGCCGCCGCUUGCUCGUGGAGAUGGCGAUGACCGUUGAAGGAUUCAAGCACAGCCAAUUCCAAGGGGUAUAAAUGGUAUAAAUAGAAGACCUUGAGGGAACAGAAAGAAUCACCUUGCUUGUGCCUAAUUGCUCCAAAUUAAAAGCUCAGGUACGACUUGCAGCAAACAGGAAGCUUUCUCCAUUAGAAGGAAUCAAAUCGAUCAAGAAGUCACUUGAAUCAGGACCUAGCAUACAUAUUCAGGUAGGAGGUCUACGAUGGGCAGCGGUGUGGUCACGAGUUCCACAACGGUGAGUGUCUAUAUUCUGUACAAACGACAUAGAACCAUACUUAUUUCCUCAAAUGCUGUUAGUCUUAAGUAUAUUUCCUCAAAUGCUUAUCUUUCUAAUUCUUAAGUAUACUUCUGAAGUGCUGAUCCUGACAGAUGGCUACCUGGUAGCUGUAGCAGUACUUAAGUACAAAAUGUUAAAGAGUAUAAUCUAUUUAUAUAUCUAUUAAUUUUUACGAUGUGAGCUCUUCAAUCUGGAUAUUUCUGAGUUUCAUCUAUUUCUGAUAUUCAAAUAACUGGAGCGGGGCAUCAGUAGCAAAGUAUGAAAACUAAGUCUGCCCGACACAACAACGUGAUUCUGAAAUUGACAAGGCUAACCCCAUAUUCUUCUACACUACUUUUUUUAUUCCUGCAAACUAAUGCUACAUUGUUAUGCCGACUAAUGCUGGGAGCACAGGCCGCGUCUUAACUGAACAUGAGUAUGCAAAAACUGAAGGUGAUUCUUAUUUUCUAAAUCUUUAUCUCAAUAUUUCCUCUAGGGGUUACAUUGGAGCGGGCCAAAUAUUGUAUAGGUAAGCAUUUUGCCUCUUGGCUAUUACAAGUUUUCCGUCUUAUAUAUGUAUCUAGAAGUUCAUGUUGCCGUGCGCUGCUUUUACGCAUGCUGCCAUGUACACAUGUUUAGUUUUAGUAAAAAUAAGUAAGGUUUCAUUGCACGGUAAGUAUUGUUUACAGGUGUGCAAAUUGAUAGGAGCUAAUUCAUGCAAUGGCUUCUAAACAUAAUGUUACUUGAUAACUAGGAUAUAAAUUAAUAAUUACAUGGAAGAACUAAUUUAUAUCUAUAAGUUGCUUUCAAUUUUACCAUGAGUUAGUAUGUGCUACCAUAAUCCUUGGAAUUGGAGGGUUUGUAGCAGAUCUCAUCAGUUGUAAGGAAAGUGGAAAAAGUUUAUUUGGUCAGUGUUAAGCUAUCUUACCGUGCAAUGUACAUUAGGUAAUGUAUGCUGUUAACAGUUAUUUUUGUUGUUAAAUCCAAUCCAUUUUCUUAAAUUCAAUAAAGUAUUGAUGAAACAACUUAGAUGCAUCCAAACAAUGCUAGCAAUGCUCUUAAUGGGGAGCAGCAACCUGAAGGGUAGAGUCACCCAUAUAUUCUGGUAUAUUUUUUAUAAUGGAAAUGUGUUAAGGGGUAAAUCAACAUGUACCAGACCUUUAGAUAAUUCUGUAUCAUUUGCCUGCACAAUGCAAAUCAUGAAAAUUUUGCUGUAAUUUUUAUCAUUAAUGCCUUUCAGGAAUUUAGGAUGAGUUCAGGAAGUCAUAAGAUUGAUCAGAAUUACUACCACUUAUGCCAUUAGGCUUUAAGUUUAUAUGGAAGGGGUGUGGAUUGGCAGCAUGCGUUGAAUAAUUCCUCCUAAGGCCACAAAACAAUUGGCCUUCCCAGUUUGAUUGAUUGGUGGUCCAAGGAUGAAAGGCAAUUACAAUUUUGUAUAUGGAGUUUUUUCUUUGAAUUUUCAGUAUUUACCAUUUUUGUCAUUGAUGAGUAAAUGAUAGUACGUAUCAUAUAUUAGUGAUAGUGAGAUUC